Molecule: non-coding RNA, 216 nt
Organism: Pimephales promelas (fathead minnow)
Lineage: Eukaryota; Metazoa; Chordata; Actinopteri; Cypriniformes; Leuciscidae
Source: RefSeq, a predicted model, not a curated record
UCCAUUAUAAGUGUGAUGGGCUUCAGGAACAAAGGAUUUAACAAUCAGAACAUAAACCAGAGAUGUUCCUACAGCACUAAUAUCCAGACACAUUUCCUGGAGGAGCAGCGAGACUGAAGAGAUGAAGCGUUGAGGAUAAACUGCACCUGGACGUAGAGGUAAUCGAAGGCGACGGCGUCUCUCCUCAGAAGAUCCACCGGGUCCUUCGGGAGAAAA